GACGAACGCUGGCGGCGUGCCUAAUACAUGCAAGUAGAACGCUGAAGGAGGAGCUUGCUUCUCUGGAUGAGUUGCGAACGGGUGAGUAACGCGUAGGUAACCUGCCUGGUAGCGGGGGAUAACUAUUGGAAACGAUAGCUAAUACCGCAUAAUAGUAGAUGUUGCAUGACAUUUGCUUAAAAGGUGCAAUUUCAUCACUACCAGAUGGACCUGCGGUGGAUUAGCUAGUUGGUGGGGUAACGGCUCACCAAGGCGACGAUACAUAGCCGACCUGAGAGGGGGGUCGGCCAACCUGGGACUGAGACACGGCCCAGAACCCCACGGGAGGCAGCAGGAGGGAAUCUUCGGGAAAGGACGGAAGGCUGAACGGGCAACGCCGCGUGAGUGAAGAAGGGUUUCGGAUCGGAAAGAUCUGUUGUAAGGGAAGAACGAGUUUGAGAGUGGAAAGUUCACACUGUGACGGUAUCUUACCAGAAAGGGACGGCUAACUACGUG
This 495-nucleotide ribosomal RNA is filed under the name uncultured bacterium. RNAcentral's name for it is "partial 16S ribosomal RNA". It matches the Rfam family "Bacterial small subunit ribosomal RNA", at positions 28 to 507 of the family's 1533-position model. The record is from RNAcentral.